UUUCAUUUGUUAUGAAUAUAAAACAUACAUUAACUUUAGGGUAUGAUAAUAAAAGGCGGCCGGCCUCACUUAUUCACUUUCGACAACGAAAGCUUUCAGCACAGGCACAACCUAAAAAAAAAUGCACAGGGUAGGAAAAUGAAGAGGGUCGAGCCUGAAAGUUGAUUCACGACUCUUACGAAUUCAUUAAUGAUCCUUCCGCAGGUUCACCUACGGAAA
RNAcentral lists this unclassified non-coding RNA (219 nucleotides) under uncultured fungus. Its description in RNAcentral is "sequence contains ITS1". The record is from RNAcentral. Lineage: Eukaryota; Fungi.